CACUCCUGCGGGAGGCAGCAGUGGGGAAUUUUGGACAAUGGGCGAAAGCCUGAUCCAGCAAUGCCGCGUGAGUGAAGAAGGCCUUCGGGUUGUAAAGCUCUUUUGUCAGGGAAGAAACGGUGAAAGCUAAUAUCUUUUGCUAAUGACGGUACCUGAAGAAUAAGCACCGGCUAACUACGUGCCAGCAGCCGCGGUAAUACGUAGGGUGCAAGCGUUAAUCGGAAUUACUGGGCGUAAAGCGUGCGCAGGCGGUUUUGUAAGUCUGAUGUGAAAUCCCCGGGCUCAACCUGGGAAUUGCAUUGGAGACUGCAAGGCUAGAAUCUGGCAGAGGGGGGUAGAAUUCCACGUGUAGCAGUGAAAUGCGUAGAUAUGUGGAGGAACACCGAUGGCGAAGGCAGCCCCCUGGGUCAAGAUUGACGCUCAUGCACGAAAGCGUGGGGAGCAAACAGGAUUAGAUAACCCGGUAGUCCCAU
Molecule: ribosomal RNA, 473 nt
Filed under: uncultured organism
Description: partial 16S ribosomal RNA
Rfam family: Bacterial small subunit ribosomal RNA
Source: RNAcentral